Long non-coding RNA from Sitodiplosis mosellana (orange wheat blossom midge), 2403 nucleotides. RefSeq lists it as uncharacterized. The record is from RefSeq and is a predicted model, not a curated record. The transcript has 2 exons. Lineage: Eukaryota; Metazoa; Arthropoda; Insecta; Diptera; Cecidomyiidae.
CAUCGACACCACUUGUAUAUGAAUUUCGUCACGAAGUGAAAUUUGGCGCGUUGAGGAGAGUUGUCACAACCACACAGUGAAUGGAUUUGUGUGUACGGUAUUUAUUUCGACACAAAUUGAUGUGUCAAACUGAUGCCGCUUGCACAUUCAUAUUGAUCUGAGCAUUUGAAAAAGCAAGUCAAUUGUUUUGAAUAUUGUUCGAUUUAUACUGAUUGUUUUGGUUUCUUUUUUUUUCAAAUUAAGUAAUUUAGUCAAUGUUUUUAGGUAGAAAAUACAUAAUAUCUUAUUAAAUUUCCUCAUAUCGUUUUUUUUUUUUCGUUUGGUGUUUAGACGUGAAUCUCACUCGUUCGUAUAUCGUCGAUUGUACACAAAGCGGCUGACACUCUAACGGGAAAGUGCAACAAACAAAAGUAUUGAGAAAAUGCUUUUUGCUUCGAACAACAGAUUCAAUGGGCAGAAAAAGGAAAAAUCCAAGUAGUUGUUAUCCAAGUAGACAAAUUGAUCGUUGAUCGGAUGCAAAUUAGUUGACGACUCUGGGCGUAAGGCGUAAAUUGUGUUUGCCAUUAAGAACUGGGGAAAUUUAGAAUUUGUAUACGGCGUCGAGUGAACAGAAAAUGAGAAUAAGAAAAGAAUAUAUAACAGAUUGCAAUUGAGAAUCUCAAUUUGAGAUUGCCAAAUUGUACAGUAGAUUCCAAUUUCUUAGUUAGAAACUUGUCAAUUACUUGCUGUCGAGUCGCUAAGUUUAGAGGCCCUAUCAGCAGCGAACGAUCUCGACUUCGUACCGCUUAUUCAUUCGAUCAUCAUCUGUUCUUGGUUGGUUUUGGUAUGCAGUAUGUGUUUUGUUGCGAUGUGUGUAUGCGCACACGUACAUUGCAUUGUGGUCGCCUCCUCGACAAGUUGCCAAAGGUCAUGGCUAAUGUGCUCACAUAGCAACAUAACCGCUCAUUUUAUAUAGUUUAUGCAUCAGAUUCUAAUUGUUCCAUCUCUCUUCUGUUUAUUUUUUUUGUUGUCUUCCAUUAUUUUGUCUACAUGGACACCAACUGAAACGUGCGAUCACAAUCAACUCUCUGUAUAUUUAUAAUAAUGCUCAUUUUUUUUUAUUCGUUAUGAAGCGGCAUGAAAAGGAACGACUCAUUAAUUGUCUGCUUUGUCAUUUAAAUGACAUGACACUAUUUCUGUUUUGUUCUCUUUCAUAAAAUGUUAUGAAAAUGUAUGUUUCUCAUUUGCUACAAAUAUAAAUUAUUUUUUUUUUAUCCAAUUUUAUAUAUUCUUGAUUUAUACACUUUCGCUCCAAUUCAAUGAGUUCUGACAACAGUUGAGUCUCGAUUAUCCGUCAGGCACCGGACCUGCAUGUUGACGGAUAAUUGAAAAAGACUUUUUCUUUAAAAAACGAAAUAUGGUAGAGAAGUGAAAAAAAAAAAAACGUUGCGAUUUAUGAAAAAUCUCCAAAUAAAAAUAAACACAGCAGAUCGUAUAGAAAUGUGUGUUUUUGCUUUUCAAAGUAAACAAUUGAAUGGACGAAAUGGAAUACAGAGAUAAGUAGAGUUUUUUUGUUUCAAUAUGAACAUCGUCAAUUCACUUUGAACCGAAAACGAAAAAAAUAUGCGUAGGCGAACGAUGACGGUUAACAGAAGUGACGGUUAAUAGAGUGACGGAUAAUCGAGACUAUACUAUUAUAUAUAUAAAUAUUAGAUACUAGAUGCAACUAGAUAUUCAUAUUGCUUUUCCAUUUCUUCUGUCACCUAAAAAAAAAAAAUCAGAAGCGUGAAUUUGCUUCUGAGUAUUGUGAGAGUGCAUCCAUUCAGUUAUUGGAUUUCAGAUUUUGGUUGUGUUGAAAUCAUCAUUUAUUUUUAUUGUUCCAAAGGUGAGGGAAACGAUAUACGCAACUGAGUUCAUUGAGCAUUAUUCCUAAAAAAAAAACCUAACGGUAUGAAUCGGAGGAGUAAAAUUGAUGUCUCUUUGAAAUGUAUUUAAUACUAAUAGCUUUAGUUAAUCUAAAAUAGUUGAACUCUCUUGAAUCGUUUUUUGUUUGCUAUAAAUUUGUUUCACACAUUGAAUCGUAUGACUGCAUUCUCUUUGAAAUAUUACGAUUCAUUGCGUGUGUGUGUGUGUGUGUGUGUUGUUUUCAAUCCUCACUAUUGACUUAUUGGAAUUUAUGCGUAGUGCGCUUUUUUUUUUUUAACCUAAAAGCUACAAUUGUUGCCUCAAAUAAAUUAGUUUUCUUGAAAUUAUGUCGUCUAUUUGGUUUCCUACUUAAUCAGUUGAUAGAUUUAUAUCGAUUAAGUUUCUAUGUACUUUUGUAACUUCUUUUUAUAUGGCGCAUUUCAAUGUAUAUAUACUAUAUAUAUUUUAAUUUAAUUUUAAUAAAAAAAAUUUGUUAAUUCGAUCAUUUGUUCUAUGUAA